AGGGAAGGGUCUGGUGGGGUGGUGGCCAGGCCGACAGGGGGGCAUCGUAGACAUGGCCUCCAGCACCUUCCAAGGCAUACAGAGGGUGGCAGAGUCGACAGAGGAAGUGACCAAGCUGAGGCCGGUCAGACUGAUCCGAGAGGAUGGAAUCAUCCGGCCUUACGACCAGGAGGACGCCAAGGGAUACGACCUUUUCCAGGUUAGCAACCCUCCUUAGAAGGUCACUAAAACACCCAUGGACGCCAAGGGAUAAAACGACCUUGUCCAGGUUAGCAACCCACCUUAGGACACUAAAACACCCAUGGCUGGAGGUAGACUUGUCCAGGUUAGCAACCCACCUUAGGACACUAAAACACCCAUGGCUGUAGGUAGACUUGUCCAGGUUAGCAACCCUCCUUAGGACACUAAAACACCCAUGGCUGGAGGUAGACUUGUCCAGGUUAGCAACCCUCCUUAGGACACUAAAACACCCAUGGCUGGAGGUAGACUUGUCCAGGUUAGCAACCCACCUUAGGUCACUAAAACACCCAUGGCUGGAGGUAGACUUGUCCAGGUUAGCAACCCACCUUAGGACACUAAAACACCCAUGGCUGUAGGUAGACUUGUCCAGGUUAGCAACCCUCCUUAGAAGGUCACUAAAACACCCAUGGCUGUAGGUAGACUUGUCCAGGUUAGCAACCCUCCUUAGGACACUAAAACACCCAUGGCUGUAGGUAGACUUGUCCAGGUUAGCAACCCUCCUUAGGUCACUAAAACACCCAUGGCUGUAGGUAUACUUGUCCAGGUUAGCAACCCACCUUAGGUCACUAAAACACCCAUGGCUGUAGGUAGACUUGUCCAGGUUAGCAACCCUCCUUAGGACACUAAAACACCCAUGGCUGGAGGUAGACUUGUCCAGGUUAGCAACCCACCUUAGGACACUAAAACACCCAUGGCUGUAGGUAGACUUGUCCAGGUUAGCAACCCACCUUAGGUCACUAAAACACCCAUGGCUGUAGGUAGACUUGUCCAGGUUAGCAACCCUCCUUAGAAGGACACUAAAACACCCACGGCUGGAGGUAGACUUGUCCAGGUUAGCAACCCUCCUUAGAAGGUCACUAAAACACCCACGGCUGGAGGUAGACUUGUCCAGGUUAGCAACCCACCUUAGGUCACUAAAACACCCAUGGCUGGAGGUAGACUUGUCCAGGUUAGCAACCCACCUUAGGACACUAAAACACCCAUGGCUGUAGGUAGACUUGUCCAGGUUAGCAACCCUCCUUAGAAGGUCACUAAAACACCCAUGGCUGUAGGUAGACUUGUCCAGGUUAGCAACCCUCCUUAGGUCACUAAAACACCCAUGGCUGUAGGUAUACUUGUCCAGGUUAGCAACCCACCUUAGGUCACUAAAACACCCAUGGCUGUAGGUAGACUUGUCCAGGUUAGCAACCCUCCUUAGGACACUAAAACACCCACGGCUGGAGGUAGACUUGUCCAGGUUAGCAACCCACCUUAGGACACUAAAACACCCAUGGCUGUAGGUAGACUUGUCCAGGUCGUAGAGAAAGGGGACCAUAUAACAACUAGAUCUUUUUACUAUUUCAAUUUCUGCACUUUACUAUUCUAAAUUAUAUAUUUUAAUGUUUUUAUUUUUCCUUAUACAGUGUAUUAUAUGUCAAUCUGAAAGUGUCGUCU
Oncorhynchus keta (chum salmon) is the source of this 1674-nucleotide long non-coding RNA. RefSeq lists it as uncharacterized. The transcript is spliced from 6 exons. The record is from RefSeq and is a predicted model, not a curated record. Lineage: Eukaryota; Metazoa; Chordata; Actinopteri; Salmoniformes; Salmonidae.